Molecule: long non-coding RNA, 2915 nt
Organism: Acanthochromis polyacanthus (spiny chromis)
Lineage: Eukaryota; Metazoa; Chordata; Actinopteri; Pomacentridae
Exons: 3
Source: RefSeq, a predicted model, not a curated record
CCUGCUGUAUGUACUGGUCGAAUUUGAAGUGAAUUGGAGUUUCCCCCUCGGACGAGUUCGCUCUAGAAAAAAACAAAAAAUGUUCAAAAUCUGGAAUUCAACGCAAAAUAGCUCACUUCCUGUUGGGUUUAGAAAAUCGCCACCACUGACUUUUUUGUUCACCCUGAUGUGCUGCAUAUGUGUACCAAAUUUGGUAGCUGUAGGUGAAACAUGAUGGCCGUGGGAAAGUGUAGGGGGCGCUAUGGAGCCAUUUUGCCACACACCUCCACAAUUCCUUUAAAAUAUGAAAUUUUUCAUCAGUCCUGAUGUGUGUACAAAUUUUCAUGAGUUUUUGAGCAUGUUUAGGCCCUCAAAAAUGCAAUUGUUCUGAGAGACAAAUAAUAAUAAUAAUUAAAGCUGCGAGCAGCGUUGAACGGGUCCUCGCAUACUUGCUGGUCGGCGACCCCAAGCAUCUCCACCAGGCAAUGCUACGACUGAGAGUGUAUUUAGGCCCAUGAAUGUCACAAAGGCUGGAUUCUGAGCACACAGGUCAAAUUUCAGGCAGAUUUGAGCAUGUACAGGCUAUUUAUGCAGCACUUUGUGUCCAUCCACCAGGUGGCGCUAUCUCUGUGACUGUAUGUUGGUCUAUGAAACUCAUCAGGACUGGACUCUGAUCAAACAUGUAAAGUUUGAGGCGGAUUGCAGCGUGUACAGGGGAUUUACACAAGACGUCCUGCUUCAUGGUGUAACAUUAAACUUCAGCUGCCCGCCAUGGCCACGCCCUUUGAGUUUUAUGAACAAUUUUUGCAAAUAUGCAACCUGAAGACGUGUCUUAUAUAUUUUCCCAAAUUCAGAUGUUUUGGAGUUAUUGCCUGUGAGAAAUGAAUUUUUGAAAAUGACCAAAAACACCAAAAAUCUGACAUUUAAUUAAAAAUGGCCGACUUUCUGUUGGGUUUAGAGAAUGACUCCAAGAGACUUUUUUGUUUGCACUGACAUGCUACAUUUGCAUGCCAAAUUUCAUAGUCCUAGCUGAAAGUCUCUGUGGAGGCUAUUUUUUAAAUGCUGUAGGGGGCGCUAUGACACAUACUGUGGAUGUAUUUUGGCCUAUAAAUGUGAUCAGGACAGGACUGUGUUCAAUCAUGUGAGGUCUGAGGUAGACUGGAGCAUGCAGAGGAUAGUUUGAUAGCACUUGAUGUUUCAUGGCAAACCAUCAAAAUUCUGGAGGUCGCCAUGUCCACACCCUUUAACUCUGGAAGAAUCUUUUAAUAACUUUUGAUCAUAACAUUGUGUUGUAUAUCCUGGCAAAAUGUCAGGUCUCUAGCAGUUAAACCCUCGGAGGAGUUCGCUCUCAAAAAUUAAAAAAAUAGAGAAAAUUUGUCCACUUAAUUCAAAAUGGCGGACUUCCUGUUGGGUUUAGGGGAUGGCUCCAAGAGGCUUUUUUGUGCGUUCUAAUGUGCUCUAUAUGUCUCCCAAAUUUUGAGGAUGUAGGUGAAAUGUGCUGCCGGGGCUGUUUAUUAAACAUACUGUAGGGGGCGCAAUAGCACAUGCCCUGCAGAGAUGUAUACAUUCUUAUUCCUGGAGACGACAGUGAUGUGUGUGUAAAUUUUGGUGAGCUGCUGAACAUUCUAAGCCUGUCAAAAAGUACUUUGUUUGUCACAAAAACAACGCGUUGCCACGGCAACAGCAUUUCAUCAAAUAUCAAAAUCUUCACACUGUGGUAUUGUCUGGGGGUGAAGAAUCAGCUGACCAAUUUUCAGAAUGAUAUGACAAAGUUUGGAGCAAUGAUGUGUGCAAAUGUAAUUUCUAAACUGCUUGUUACCAAGAUGUGGCGCUAUGACUUUUUCUAAAUUUUUCAGUGUGGAUGUCCUCAAACUGGUUCUGGUGUCCAGCACAUGAAGUUUGGGGCAGAUAGGAUCCUUUGCAGCAGAGAUAUGAACACUUCAAUUUUCAUGGUGAAACAUCAAACUUUGCCGUCCCGCCACAGACACGCCUUUUCAUCACACGUCACCAUUUUUUCUGUGCUUCAUCAUCAAUGUGUUCAGGCUUAUGUCACAACAUCUGAGGUGAAUCUGAGCAACAGGCUAAGAAUAGUACAUGAAAGUCUAAAAAAUGUCAAAUUCUUGAUACCACAAGGUGGCGCUGUGACUGUGAAUGAAUCUUGCUGUAUGGAUGUCAUCGAGGCAGGUCUGUGACAAUACAUGUAAAGUUUCAUUCAGAUCGGAGCAUGUUCAGGAGAGUUAGACAGCAUUUCCUGUUUCAUGGCGAAGGAUCAAAUUUCGACAGGCCGCCACGACCACACCCUUUAACUAUGGAGGAAGAUUUUGAUAACUUUUUCUCAGGAAGGCCUGCUGUAUGUGCUGGCCAAAUUUCAGAUCGCUACGACUUUCCCCCGAGGAGGAGUUCAUCAUAGAUUUUGUACAGUUAACGCAUGAUGGCGCACUUCCUGUUGGGUGUAGAGCAUGGCUGUGAUUGACUUUUUUGUGUUUCCUGAUGUGCUGCAUAUGCCUCCCAAAUUUUGUAAGUCUCAACCAAAUUCCCUCUGAGUUGGCCUAAUACCACUUUUUAAAAUUUUGUAGGGGGCGCUAUGGAGCUAUUUUGGCACACACCUCCACAUGCCCUACAAAAUAUGAAAUUUUUCGCCAGUUCUGAUGUGUGUGCAAAUUUUCAUGACUUUUCGAGCAUGUUCAGGCCCUGAAAAAUGCAGUUGUUUUGGCAGAAUAAUAAUAAUAAUAAUUAAAGCUGCGAGCAGCGUUGAACGGGUCCUCGCAUCCUUGCUGGUCGGCGACCCCAAGCAUCUCCACCAGGCAAUGCUACGACUGAGAGUGUAUUUAGGCCCACGAAUGUCACAAAGGCUGGAUUCUGAGCACACAGGUCAAAUUUCAGGCAGAUUGGAGCAUGUACAGGCUAUUUAUGCAGCACUUUCUGUCCAUCCACCA